RNAcentral lists this ribosomal RNA (436 nucleotides) under uncultured bacterium. RNAcentral describes it as "bacterial SSU rRNA". It matches the Rfam family "Bacterial small subunit ribosomal RNA", at positions 960 to 1392 of the family's 1533-position model. The record is from RNAcentral.
CGCGAAGAACCUUACCAAGACUUGACUUGCCCUCUAUGAGCCCCCGAAAAGGGGCUCUUCACUUCGGGUGGGAGGAGCACAGGUGCUGCAUGGCUGUCGUCAGCUCGUGUCGUGAGAUGUUGGGUUAAGUCCCGCAACGAGCGCAACCCUCAUCCUCUGUUGCUAACAGGUUAAGCUGAGCACUCUGAGGAAACUGCCGGUGAUAAGCCGGAGGAAGGUGGGGAUGACGUCAAGUCCUCAUGGCCCUUACGUCUUGGGCUACACACGUGUUACAAUGGCGAUGACAAUGGGCUGCUAACCCGCGAGGGCAUGCUAAUCCCCAAAAGUCGCCUCAGUUCGGAUCGUACUCUGCAACUCGAGUACGUGAAGUUGGAAUCGCUAGUAAUCGUAGAUCAGAACGCUACGGUGAAUACGUUCCCGGGCCUUGUACACACCG